AGCGAACGCUGGCGGCAUGCUUAACACAUGCAAGUCGCACGGGCAGUAGCAAUACUGUCAGUGGCGGACGGGUGAGUAACGCGUAGGAAUCUAUCCUUGGAAUGGGGGACAACCGUGGGAAACUACGGCUAAUACCGCAUGAUGCCUGAGGGCCAAAGACGAAAGUCGUUUGAGGAGGAGCCUGCGUCUGAUUAGGUAGUUGGUGGGGUAAAGGCCUACCCAAGCCUACGAUCAGUAGCUGGUCUGAGAGGAUGAUCAGCCACAUUGGGACUGAGACACGGCCCAAACUCCUACGGGAGGCAGCAGUGGGGAAUAUUGGACAAUGGGCGCAAGCCUGAUCCAGCAAUGCCGCGUGGGUGAAGAAGGUCUUCGGAUUGUAAAGCCCUUUUGGCGGGGACGAUGAUGACGGUACCCGCAGAAUAAGCUCCGGCUAACUUCGUG
RNAcentral lists this ribosomal RNA (441 nucleotides) under uncultured bacterium. Its description in RNAcentral is "bacterial SSU rRNA". It matches the Rfam family "Bacterial small subunit ribosomal RNA", at positions 29 to 507 of the family's 1533-position model. The record is from RNAcentral.